Molecule: unclassified non-coding RNA, 343 nt
Filed under: Hevea brasiliensis (rubber tree)
Lineage: Eukaryota; Viridiplantae; Streptophyta; Magnoliopsida; Malpighiales; Euphorbiaceae
Source: RNAcentral
GGUUCAGGAAAAUUGAUCGGAUUCGAAAACUUUUGCCAUCCAUAUAAUAUAACUAAUAGUGGAACUUCGUCAAGUGACACAGUCAUGGCUGAGUGAAAUCGGACACAAUAUGAUUUGAGAAAUUGGACACAAAAAUAUUCACUGUUGUAUAACACUGGCAAUACCUGAGUUUGUCAAAGAUAAUUUACAUAAAUGGAGAAAUUUGGUACAAAAUAUUUCUGUUGUAUAAUCUCAUGUGACAUAAAAGCAAAUGAGGGUUGAAAGUGAAAAAAAAAAUUAAUAAUAUAAAGCUUAUUUAAUUAAGGCAAACAUAUUCACUACUGAAAUUCAUCUUACCUUAGAC